This is a long non-coding RNA of Archocentrus centrarchus (flier cichlid), 1054 nucleotides long. RefSeq lists it as uncharacterized. Lineage: Eukaryota; Metazoa; Chordata; Actinopteri; Cichliformes; Cichlidae. The record is from RefSeq and is a predicted model, not a curated record. The transcript has 4 exons.
ACACAUGCACGCACAGACACACAUGCACGCUCCAUUUACGUUACAUCUUCCUCUUUUUAUUCCCUCCUCACAUUCCUCUUUUGUUCUCUGUCUAUUAUUGUGGAUCAUUCCAUGAAGGGAAUGAAUUUUGUCUAAGCAAACUUUCCUUUACUCUCCUUUUUUUAAAUACUGGGCUAUUGCCGGGUUGCAUAGCUGUAUUUCUUCAAUAAAGAAAAACUUGUUUGGGUGAAGCCAAAUCACACCCAGCUCCCCCACCCUAUUCACAAGGGGCAUGUUUAACAUGUUGACUAUCAAAUAUUCAUAACUUGCCAAAUCACAGUGCUCCGCACACCUGAGCCUUCUGAUUAUUGCACAGUUUUGUGAUGAUUGUGGUGGUUCUUUGGUUGCAUGACCUUUGCUUAACUGUCACUGACAUAAUUUCAAACCUGCUUCGAUCAGGGCUGAAACAAAGCGUGGAUCCUGAGGUCACACACAGGCUGAAGAGCAGGUAGCAAACCCUUCUCCCUCAGCUCCAGUCCAGCAGUCCCGCAUCUCAUGAAGUCAAAAGCUCCCGGUCUGGAAGAAUAUGCCCAGCCCUAUCACCCUUCCCCUUCAGGGCAUCUCUUAAAUCAGCUUACCUGCUUACAGAAAAAGGCUGCGUUGCAUGCAUCAUUGUUGACUGUAUUGGACUGCAAACGGGAAAGUGAUUUGUAAUUUUAAAGUCUGACAACAGGUAAGACAGACAAGACACAAACGGCAUGGAGUUAAACUGUAUCCAGUUAUUAGUGUAAGAUGUUUAAAAAGUGAGUGAUAUGCAAAACUUAAAUAAUAAUUUCAUUUUCUCAUGUGCUCUGAUUAUAAACUGCAUUCCAGUGUAUGAUAUGCCAUUAACUGUGUGUAUUUUUUUCUUCUAAAUAAAGUGACAAUUUUCACUAUUUAUGCAGCAACAUGGAUUUUUAAUAAAAGCACUGUGAAAUCCUGUAUCGUGUGUCCUUAUUGAGUUUGCAUGUUUGAUAUUAGGAGAUAUCACAGAAGCUUUGGUAGUGACGUGUUAUAGAGAAUUAGGAAUUUAUGC